CUAACCUGAACGACGUUGACAGAAAAUUCUGUUCAAUAUGGCUGCCCUUCUCGAGCGACUGGAGAACACAUUUGGAGAAACUUGCUGAAGGCCAAAGACAAAAAGACAGAAGAAAAAAAAAUUCAGACUGCAAUUAAUUUCAGGUGGAGACAGUAAACACAGGAGGCGCCUGAUAUCAACGUGAAACGCACUGCAGUACUUCGUGCCCUUCCUGUAUACCUGCGGGAGGAGGACCCAGAAUUCUUUUAGACAUGUAAUGCGGACGCAUUGGAUGAGUCGACCCUCAUUGACACUCCAGUUGCCCUUCUCACAGUGGUUACCGACGGCGCUUCCCAGUCCAGUCCAUUUUACUUCCUCAAGCAUGG
Long non-coding RNA from Maylandia zebra (zebra mbuna), 365 nucleotides. RefSeq lists it as uncharacterized. The record is from RefSeq and is a predicted model, not a curated record. NCBI's taxonomy places the organism in Eukaryota, Metazoa, Chordata, Actinopteri, Cichliformes, Cichlidae.